This 433-nucleotide ribosomal RNA is filed under the name uncultured bacterium. RNAcentral describes it as "bacterial SSU rRNA". It matches the Rfam family "Bacterial small subunit ribosomal RNA", at positions 29 to 506 of the family's 1533-position model. The record is from RNAcentral.
ACGAACGCUUGCUGCAGGCCUCAAACAUGCAAGUCUAGGGGGUGUAGCAAUACAUCACCGGCGGACGGGUGCGUAACACGUGGGAAUAUACCUUUUGGUUCGGAACAACGCAGGGAAACUUGCGCUAAUACCGAAUGUGCCCUUACGGGGAAAGAUUUAUCGCCAAAGGAUUAGCCCGCGUCCGAUUAGCUAGUUGGUGAGGUAACGGCUCACCAAGGCUCCGAUCGGUAGCUGUUCUGAGAGGAAGAUCAGCCACACUGGGACUGAGACACGGCCCAGACUCCUACGGGAGGCAGCAGUUGGGAAUCUUGGACAAUGGGGGAAACCCUGAUCCAGCCAUGCCGCGUGAGUGAUGAAGGCCUUCGGGUUGUAAAACUCUUUCGACGGGGACGAUAAUGACGGUACCCGUAGAAGAAGCUCCGGCUAACUUCGU